RNAcentral lists this small nuclear RNA (190 nucleotides) under Myotis davidii. RNAcentral's name for it is "U2 spliceosomal RNA". It matches the Rfam family "U2 spliceosomal RNA". From Rfam's summary of the family: U2 is a small nuclear RNA (snRNA) component of the spliceosome (involved in pre-mRNA splicing). Complementary binding between U2 snRNA (in an area lying towards the 5' end but 3' to hairpin I) and the branchpoint sequence (BPS) of the intron results the bulging out of an unpaired adenosine, on the BPS, which initiates a nucleophilic attack at the intronic 5' splice site, thus starting the first of two transesterification reactions that mediate splicing. The record is from Rfam by way of RNAcentral. Lineage: Eukaryota; Metazoa; Chordata; Mammalia; Chiroptera; Vespertilionidae.
AUCACUUCUCAGCCUUUUGGCUAAGAUCGAGUGUAGUAUAUGUUAUUAGAUUAACAUCUGAAACGUCCUCUAUCUGAGGACAAUUAUUUUACAUGGAUUUCCGGAACUAGGAGAUGGAACAGAAGUUUGCUCCAUCCAUUCCACACAUCAACCUGCUAUUACAGUUACUUCCAGGAUAAGUGCUCCAAAA